RNAcentral lists this ribosomal RNA (439 nucleotides) under uncultured bacterium. Its description in RNAcentral is "partial 16S ribosomal RNA". It matches the Rfam family "Bacterial small subunit ribosomal RNA", at positions 338 to 795 of the family's 1533-position model. The record is from RNAcentral.
CCUACGGGAGGCAGCAGUGGGGAAUAUUGCACAAUGGGGGAAACCCUGAUGCAGCGACGCCGCGUGAGUGAAGAAGUAUUUCGGUAUGUAAAGCUCUAUCAGCAGGGAAGAAAAUGACGGUACCUGAGUAAGAAGCUCCGGCUAAAUACGUGCCAGCAGCCGCGGUAAUACGUAUGGAGCAAGCGUUAUCCGGAUUUACUGGGCGUAAAGGGAGCGUAGGCGGCCUGCCAAGUCUGAUGUGAAAUACCGGGGCUCAACCCCGUCGUGCCGUUGAAACUGGCGUUCUUGAGUGAGCGAGAAGUAUGCGGAAUGCGUGGUGUAGCGGUGAAAUGCAUAGAUAUCACGCAGAACUCCGAUUGCGAAGGCAGCAUACCGGCGCUCAACUGACGCUCAUGCACGAAAGCGUGGGUAUCGAACAGGAUUAGAUACCCGAGUAGUC